CUCAGGAAUAUUGGAAUGGAAGUUUCCAGAAGAAUGAAAAUGGCGUAAAUACACAAGACGACUAAAGUCUUUAGGCAACUUUUCAAUAUCCCACCAAUCUCUCAGGUCCAAGAAUUUCAAGUGGUAAAGUCUAGAUAAUGUGCUAGGUAAAGUAAUCUCUAAGUCAUAAGGUGAACUAAUUUUAAGGUACUGGAGGUGGAUAAGAUUUGAGAAGUUCUUUGGUAAAGAUUGUUGAGCUCUCAUGGCUAUAAAUAGUACCCGGAGACCCUUUAUAUCUUUGAAUGUAUCUUUCAACAUAUUAGCUAUUCUUACA
Molecule: non-coding RNA, 313 nt
Organism: Lolium perenne
Lineage: Eukaryota; Viridiplantae; Streptophyta; Magnoliopsida; Poales; Poaceae
Source: RefSeq, a predicted model, not a curated record